This 494-nucleotide ribosomal RNA is filed under the name uncultured bacterium. Its description in RNAcentral is "partial 16S ribosomal RNA". It matches the Rfam family "Bacterial small subunit ribosomal RNA", at positions 28 to 507 of the family's 1533-position model. The record is from RNAcentral.
GACGAACGCUGGCGGCGCGCUUAACACAUGCAAGUCGAACGGAAAGGCCUGCUUUCCCUUGUGGAUUGCGGGUACUCGAGUGGCGAACGGGUGAGUAACACGUGAGUGAUCUGCCCCCAACUUGGGUAUAAGCCUGGGAAACUGGGUCUAAUUCCCGAUAGGACUGCAGGGUGGUGCCUGUGGUGGAAAACGAUUUUCUAGUGGUUGGGGAUGAGCUCGCGGCCUAUCAGCUUGUUGGUGGGGUAAUGGCCUACCAAGGCGGCGACGGGUAGCCGGCCUGAGAGGGUGGACGGCCACAUUGGGACUGAGAUACGGCCCAGACUCCUACGGGAGGCAGCAGUGGGGAAUAUUGCACAAUGGGCGGAAGCCUGAUGCAGCGACGCCGCGUGGGGGAUGACGGCCUUCGGGUUGUAAACUCCUUUCGACCGCGAGGAAGCCACCUGGUUAGAAGGGUGGUGACGGUAGUGGUAGAAGAAGCACCGGCUAACUACGUG